UACGUAGGGUGCAAGCGUUGUCCGGAAUUAUUGGGCGUAAAGAGCUCGUAGGCGGUCUGUCGCGUCGGCUGUGAAAACCUGGGGCUCAACUCCGGGCCUGCAGCCGAUACGGGCAGACUAGAAUUCGGUAGGGGAGACUGGAAUUCCUGGUGUAGCGGUGAAAUGCGCAGAUAUCAGGAGGAACACCGGUGGCGAAGGCGGCUCGUUUGGUCUGUAACUGACGCUGAGGCGCGAAAGCGUGGGGAGCGAACAGGAAUUAGAUUACCCGUG
RNAcentral lists this ribosomal RNA (270 nucleotides) under uncultured bacterium. Its description in RNAcentral is "partial 16S ribosomal RNA". It matches the Rfam family "Bacterial small subunit ribosomal RNA", at positions 524 to 791 of the family's 1533-position model. The record is from RNAcentral.